GAAACAAAGGGGAGCUAGUCCCAUAUUGGAACAAAGGGGUGACAAGCCCAUCCCCACACUAUAAAUACAUGUUUCUUUACUCACCCUUAAGGUAAGCCGCCACUCUCUAUUUACUCAUACCUAGUUUACAUUCUUACAUGUAUCUGACUUAAGCAUCGGAGGGUCGAAGGCCGGCUAACCUGGUAUUCCCUUUGACCUCUGUUCAUGGUUGGCAGGUAUGGAUCUCGAAAGUAGAAGCUCUCACAACAACCCCGUUUCUACCACUGAAACAUUUGGCGCUAGAAUGAGCCCUCUGGUGGUGCCACUAGCUCACCAUGAGCAAAUUCCAACACCUCACAGAAAUUUUUCUCCGACACUCAAUUUUCUUCCUCAUCUCAGAGCUCUCUGCACACAUCAAGCGUUCAUAUUCUUCACAUAUUCUCCUUGAUUUUCAUCUCCAGCACAUGAGAAUCAAAAUUUCCAGCUUCUGGGAUCCAUUUACAGAGAGCUUUGAGGAGAGAGAAAGUAGAUCUGGGAUUCUCUCUCUCCUCCAUAACUGACCUCUACCAGCUCACCUCUCUCACACAAACUCAUUCAAACGUCAAAGGAUCCUGGGUUUUGCAAAAUCAAAAAAUUUGAGUUGCUGGGUUUCAACUUUACAAAGAACUUCGAGGAGAGAGAAACUGGAUCUGGGUUUCUCUCUCUCCUCCAUCAAUGGAUCUCUGGGCAGCCCCAAGCCUCACCUCUACCAACAUCAGACUUCCCAGCGUUGGACGAGUCCCAACCCGGCUUCCGCCACCCGCCGACGCCAAAAAAGAGGCUCACGCGCAGGCACACAAUUGAUCUGGACACCCAUAUCUGGGCACCAGAUCGAGCUUUCUCUUCUCCAUCCAUUCAAUUUCUACAUACAACAUCAGCAAAAGCUCCUCUUUCCUCGAUCUCCAGGGUGUCACCACUCACUUCCCGGCACUGUUAAUUUUCUCAAUCUAUAAGAUUCUGGGUCGGGUUGAUUGGUGACAGAGGGAAAUGAGAGAGAAACUAAAUCUAAUAUCUUCUCUUUCUGGCUCGACGAACCCCGAGCUACCCACCAACAAUAACAAACUCGGGGGUUCCAUGACUACUCAGAGCUGAGGCAAAGACGAACGCAGAUCACAACCAAAGCACUCUCUCACUUCUCCCACACUGAGAUUUAAAAUUGUACGACCGCUUCAAUUGCUGCGAAAGCUUUAAUCUGAAUCGGAAUCGGAAUCUCCAUGGUGUUGAGUUUCGCCGGUACCUCGAACGUGGUCUCAUAUCUAGAGUUCGAUUUCCACCAGCCCCUCAUAUCAGUGUCGGCAACCCAAUAUCUCGGUAUCGGAAGAACAAUUAAUGAACGGUGAGGUAACCCGUAUCGGCCAACACCCAAACUUGGUCUCAGAAGAGCGCCUGUCGGUGUCGAUUUCAAUACUCAAACAAACAUCUGCUUUGAGCCCCGAACUCGGUCUCGACACCCAGAGACUUCUUUAAGGCUUGAACCCAGUCUCGCAGCAGGACUUUGGUAUCACCAUAAUACCCAUCUCGGUAUCGCAACAGCCAACAGGAUUGGGGAUGGCUCGGUCUCGCUGUUUACGCCACGUACCCACUGAUGACAAAACCCAUCUCGGUCUCGGAAUCCCAGUGACCCUCGCUCUCGACCUCGUCUUGCACCAUGUAUUGAAAAUGAAUGGAUUCACUCAGCAAAAAAAAAAAGAAAAAAAAGAGGAUGAUGAUCUGCUCAGUACACCCAGUAACAACGACCUGCCAUACUGCCAUGCCUACCGUCUCUCUUUCAUGAUCUGAUUGUUGGCCCUGAGAGCAAGUCAUCACUACUUGAGCAAAUCUGGAUAUGGUUUUAUGCUCUUCUCCGAGCAUCCCACUCUCACCCAUUGCAAUUUUCUAUGGAGUCUGAAUCCGGGCUCAAGACCUUGUCUCAAGCCGAGGACACCGCCUAAUACAACUAACCACUGAGCUAAGUCUUCAAAACCAAUAGUUACUCUAUCUAUUCUCUAUUUUGACUCACAGAAUCGUGAGAGUCAAUCAUGCAAUACACAUGCCUAGUUGCUACGUACGUGUGCUUACUACACAAAGCCACACUUGUAAUAUAUGUUCAUACUUGCACCCACCUGUUAACAUGCAUGAGGCAAUCAUUCAUAAUUACCUCUUCAUGACUGCUCAUUCAAUUGAUACCCAUGCAUAAGAUAUUAUCUGUACACAAACUUGUUGGCACCACAAUACUUAAUUGCUUCUCCCCAAUGGUUCAUUGUUUCAGUCAAUAUCUAAUGACCACCAAAGUACUCCACAAUAUACUUGUUUGGUUCAUUGUCAUCAACAAGAAGGAUCCUCCAUUGCAUUCUUGCAUACUCAUGGCAAAAGCAAUUGUGUAUCUCUCACCACUCCAACUCGGUAUUGCAACUCCCGGAGCUGGUCCUAAUAUGCUUUCGGCAUGUACAACUCGGUAUCGCAACCCUUGUCUAUCUGAGGGUGCUCUCGGGGUUGCAACUCUUCACUCAGUAUCGCAGCACUACUUGCAACUUACUGUCCACUCCAAACUCUCGACAUUACAACUGCAGGAAUUAUAACUGGGUGACUCAUCUCUUUGACUCGGUAUCGCUCAUCUCUCCCAAUUAUAUUCUCGGUAUCGCUCGUCCCAAUGAAAGUCACCGAUAGUCCUCCAACCUCUGAAUUGAAGCUCGGAAGUACAAUGUAAACCAAGCUGAGUUCAAAUUUGUCACUUCUUCGAAGGGAGAACAAUGUAUGAGAGAAGACAAGGAAUUUCGGCUUUGCACUCGUGGUAGCAACCGAGACAAGAAAAAAAGAGGUUCUGUUAUGGACACCCAUGCUACGGACACUCAAUUGUGCAGCAACAGCAGCUGCAAACAUUACCAAUGCGUGCACAUCUCUCUUGGUCAACCAAGUAAUCAAUAUGCACAAACCUGCAUAGAAACAAGGGAGGAUCCUUCUUGACACCUAGACAAUUCAUAUGGACACCCUGCAUCUUCUACCUUCAAGGCUGCGAGCUGCCUUCUUGAAGCACCAGUAACUUGCUGUGAUCCUACCGCACGAAAGGCAAUAACCUCACCAUGAAUUAAGGAAUCUACAAGUCGAGAUUCUUGUGGAGUAUAGGAGAAAAUAAAGGAGAAAAGACGCAUGAAAGGCGAAAUCAGGAAAUCAGCCUGUGCAGAUCAGUCAACUUCGACAGAGCACUGAGAGCAGCUCAAAACGAACUAUAUAAUGAUCUUUAUAUUGUUGAAAAACCUCAGAUGUCUAGUUUUCACAGCUUUUUACGGUUCGUCGAUAUCAUUUUUCUAGAAGAAGUUAUGGCCGAUUUAGUAUAGGAAGGUCAGGCUGCGCGUGAAUCUGGUUUUUGACGGAAAUUUAUAUUUACAUGAAGAUUCUAGAGUCUAUGACGUCCAAAUGCUUUCCCAAUCAUACUUGGAUACGAAUUGGGGAUGAUGACUCAAUCUUGAUGACAUGAAAUUAUUUUAUUGGCCUGAAAGUAAUUAAAGUUUGCAUCAAUCGAA
Rosa chinensis is the source of this 3518-nucleotide long non-coding RNA. RefSeq lists it as uncharacterized. The transcript has 2 exons. Lineage: Eukaryota; Viridiplantae; Streptophyta; Magnoliopsida; Rosales; Rosaceae. The record is from RefSeq and is a predicted model, not a curated record.